RNAcentral lists this ribosomal RNA (454 nucleotides) under uncultured Prevotellaceae bacterium. RNAcentral's name for it is "bacterial SSU rRNA". It matches the Rfam family "Bacterial small subunit ribosomal RNA", at positions 341 to 792 of the family's 1533-position model. The record is from RNAcentral. Lineage: Bacteria; Pseudomonadati; Bacteroidota; Bacteroidia; Bacteroidales; Prevotellaceae.
ACGGGAGGCAGCAGUGAGGAAUAUUGGUCAAUGGCCGGAAGGCUGAACCAGCCAAGUAGCGUGAGGGAUGACCGCCCUAUGGGUCGUAAACCUCUUUUGACAGGGAAUAAAGUGAGGCACGUGUGCCUUUUCGCAUGUACCUGUCGAAUAAGCAUCGGCUAACUCCGUGCCAGCAGCCGCGGUAAUACGGAGGAUGCGAGCGUUAUCCGGAUUUAUUGGGUUUAAAGGGAGCGUAGGCGGAAGGUCAAGUCAGCUGUGAAAUGUAGUCGCUCAACGUCUGCACUGCAGUUGAAACUGGCCUCCUUGAGUGCGUAAGAGGCGGGCGGAAUUCGUCGUGUAGCGGUGAAAUGCUUAGAUAUGUCACAGAACACCGAUUGCGAAGGCAGCCGGCCAAUCCGCAACUGACGCUCAUGCACGAAAGCGUGGGGAUCGAACAGGAUUAGAUACCCUGGUA